Long non-coding RNA from Bos taurus (domestic cattle), 1725 nucleotides. The record is from Ensembl. NCBI's taxonomy places the organism in Eukaryota, Metazoa, Chordata, Mammalia, Artiodactyla, Bovidae.
AUUUCCAUGGAAAAUAGGAAACAUAAGAAAAAAAGCCAGGGUCCCUUCUCAGAUGGUGCCCUCAGAGCCUGGUAGAUUCCAGCAGGUUAAUGUCAGGACGGUUAUUGCAAAGACCUUACCCUCAGUGGAGAUUCGGCACUGAUAAGUUAAACUUCGGAGCAGGGACCAGACUGAGUGUCCAUCCAAGUAAGUAAUGUGGGGCAAAGGUGGACAUUGACAGCUAAUUCUUCUUUGUCUGAGAUGCCCAGUUGAGCCCAGGUGCUUUCUCCUGUCGAGCCCCAAAAGGUUCUUUCCACUCAUCCCAGAACAUCCUCUCAUCCUGCACUCAAUGCUCAGGAAACACCCUUGGGCCAGAACCUGAAAAAUCAUGAGUCAGAUGAUGGGCAAGGCGUCCUGGACCUUUCACGAGAGGAUCCAAGACACUAUUGUCCUGAGCAGGGUGGGUUGUCUACUAAAUUCUGUGUUUAUGGGAAUCAGAACCUCCAAUCCAGGGCACUAUAGCAGGAUGGGGCAGGAAGAAAAGGAUAAGAGACAAAGAUUCGACACAGAAGAGCAGAAGGUCUAACUCUAAAGAGUGUGAUCCUCUGUCCCCUCUGAGAGACCAGUGUUUCUCAAUGAAGUAGGAGCCAGGGCCAGUGAGUUUCUGUAAUGGUGUCCCCAGCAGUGUGAAUACAGGAGGAGCGAUCGGUAAACUCACUUUUGGGAAAGGAACCCAAGUGUCCAUAAUAUCUGAAGUCAAGGACCCCAACCCCACUGUGUACCAGCUGAGAAGCCCCCAAUCCAGUGACACUUCUGUCUGCCUAUUCACCGAUUUUGAUUCAAAUCAAGUCAACAUGGAAAAAAUCAUGGGGUCCGAGGGGAGCACGGUGCACAAAACAAACAGCACCGUGCUCAACAUGGAGAUCCUGGGAUCCAAGAGCAACGGGAUAGUGACUUGGGGAAACACCAGCGAUGCUGGAUGCGAAUACACCUUCAACGAGACCAUUCCCUUCGCCUCCAGCUUGGAAAUCUCCUGUAAUGCCAAGCUGGUAGAGAAAAGCUUUGAAACAGAUAUAAACCUAAACUCCCAAAACCUGUCAGUGAUAGUGUUCCGCAUCCUCCUCCUGAAGGUGGUCGGGUUUAAUCUGCUCAUGACGCUGCGGCUCUGGUCCAGUUGAGGUCACCGACAACCUGAGAGCCCCGUGCUCCCUCGCCCCUUGCUCCUCGUCGCCCUUCCUCUCCCUCUUCAAGCAGAGAGGCGCACUCUCUGCCCCCAUGGAUGAGAAGGCUCCCUCCUCCUCUCUGGCCUGGCUGGCCAUAACACCAACUGGAUCCUCCAGAUACUGGUGAUCAAGAUGCUGACAAGCUGCCCAGCACGGCUGCCACCCACUCUCUUCCUCACUGCUGCUUGUCACUGCCUGGCAUUCUUGGCAAAGUCGGGGGGCUGCUGCAGCCUCUCCUGGCUGUGGGGACACUCCCUCCCCACCCCCACCCCCCAGAGACUGCCUCUGAUGUCCCACUGGAUGGUGGAUCCCCAGUGGGUUCUCCUGGGCUCUAGCUCCUGGAGAAUGUUGUGUGUUGUUUAUAUUUUUUUACAUAGUGUUCAUAAAAAAAUAUAUAUCACCCUUUUCCCCAACAUGUGGGGAAAAAUUAUCUUUUCACGAUCUAGGCCCUGCUCUUCUGUGUAUCCGAGCCACAUUGUAUAUUCUGCUGCCACGGCUUCAAUAAAAGCGAUUUGGAAGAGAC